Caretta caretta (loggerhead turtle) is the source of this 2774-nucleotide RNA transcript. It is a transcript of the gene named shootin-1, with no coding region annotated. The record is from RefSeq and is a predicted model, not a curated record. Lineage: Eukaryota; Metazoa; Chordata; Testudines; Cheloniidae.
CCUUUACCCCCAUUUGGUAUUGGUGUAAAACGCUAUCCGAUCAGAUUGGUAGGGCCCGGGUCUCAUUUAUACAAAGGCCCCAUCCCAGUGCACUGGCAGAUUAAAGGGGCCGUAAAGCAGGUGUAUUCACUUGAAAGCCACUUUAAGGCUAGAGGCGUAAGCGGUCGAGGGGCUUGUCUGCGCAGUUGACCCGAGUAGCUAUUGCCAGGUAAAUUAUUCCACAGUAGCCGCGCGGGUGGAUGGUCUCACUCUGGACGAGCUAGCAGUUUACAGAGGGGUUUGUUCGUUAGAUGUGUGAGUCUCUGAGGUGCCACAAGGACUCCUCGUUGCUCUAGCCGUUUAAAUUCACUCCCUGCCUUACACUGGACUAGCUUCCCCAUGCAGACAAGGCCCUUGUAUAAGACAGAAUCUCUCCCAUAGUAUUUUGUGCCCCCUUUGCACCAGUGCCAAUGAGAUCACAAGGUUCAGGGCCCCUUUAGACCCUCAUCGUUCCUGCAAAUUGCUGGUGAACAGCCCUGUCCUGUCACAGCUGCUGGGUCCCUUCCUUGAUACGGUUGCUAAGGCUCCCCCGGCUGCAUGCAACACUGCAGCUGCCAGCUCACAGGAAGAGGGAUGGUUUCGGUUCCCGUGUGGCUGAGGAAUGGAAACCGCCCAGCCUCUGUGCAAACGGGGAAGGAGACCAGUCAACUCGCAUCAGAGGCAACAGGCAACACCAGCGUGGAGACACAGCUCCGUCAGCUCGGGUCAGAAUGGAUUACCAACUGCCAGCCAUCCUGGAAUCUGACAGCGAGUCAUCGGAGGAUGAAGAAGUGGCUACGCAUGAGGCCCUCCUCCAGGAGAGGGAUGAAGCUAAAGAGAAGCUGUCUGAGUUUGAGCAAGGUGAACAGGGAGAACAAAAAGCUGAAGCGGAUCAGCGUGGCACUGUUGCCCAUGUUGAACCAGCUUCCUGAGGAUGUGCUGAGUCUGGCCACUGAAGUAGACUCCCCCGCGGACCCAAGUCGAGAUCCAGCAUAUCCGUACCUGCAGCAGAUCAAAGAUUUGCAGGAAAAGGUUUCCAGGCUGCUGGGGGAGAAGAAGGAACUCACCAUCCAAGUGCAGGAGCUGCAGAGCCAGAUCAGAGACCUCGGGGAGCAGGUGGAAGAGGAGCGAGCAGAGAGGGGGUCCCUGCAGGCCGCGAUGGACAGGAGUCACAAGGCCCUGAAGAAGUACAAGAGAGUGUCCCAGAUGGCCGCUCAGGAGUACAGCGAGGCCGUGCAGCAGCUGGAGCUGGAGCAGGACCUGAGGCAGCAUGCAGAGACCUUUGCCCACGAGAUGCUGGUGAAGCAGAAGGAAGCCAACAGGCAGAGCAUGAUCCUGCUCCAGAACGUGGGACCCAACGCCCAGCUGCUCCAGGCCCUGGAGGAGGUGGCUAGCCUGACUGGGAUGCUGGAGGAAGCCAAGCAGGAGCAGCAGAAAAAAGUGAAGGGUCUGGAAGAGCAGCUAGGGGAGAGCCAGGAGGAGCUGGGCGCAGUGCGAGCGGCCCUGGCUGCAGCCGAAGCAGAGAAGCUGGAGCUGGGGAAGCAGCUGCACCAGGCGGAGGAGAGGAACAUGGAGUUGGAGGGGAAAGUGACGUUACUAGAAGAGAAAUUGGAGAUGGCUGAAGCCCCGCCUUCUGAACCUGAUUCGCCAGAAGUGGCUCCGCCCCCACCCCCGCCACCUCCACCUCCUCUGCCACCGCCAGCAUCUUCCGCCCCCGUGGAUCCCCUUUUGAUGAUCAAACAAAGGAAGGGGACGCGGCAACAGAAACCCAGCAAACCUGCUACCGAUGACAUAAAAGCUCAAGCAGUGGAGGAAAUGAUGGCCAGGAUCAAGAGCGGGGUUGCCCUGAGACCAGCAAAGAAGGACAGGGCUGCAUUGUCCCAGGAUCACUCAACAGCAGCCAGCAAACGCAAGAGCACCGUGAUGGAGCUGCAAGGGAUCCUGGGCACAAUGAAAAGGCCGGUCAGAAAACAGAGCUGGCGUAAACACAGCCGAAAGAUCAACGACGCCCAGCUGCAGUCCAUCCUGCAGAGACGGCGCAAGAUGGUGGACUCCUCCACUCCCGCCCAGCCCUUGCCGCUGCAGGCAGAGCUCAGAAAAGAGGUGACAGUGAAAUUUGCAAAGCUGUGUCCAGCCCAUGCUCAGAGGAGAAUGCAGCUGUUGUCCAGUUAAGAGCAAGAUCAGUGCACCUUCAGAAUAGCAGGCGAAUGGCUCUCCUGAAUGAAGCAGAGGACAAGCCGGCACAGAGAGAGUCUACCUGAAAACCAGCCAUCCUGCUGCACCACAAUACACUGCAUGGCCGCCUGGUCUCGCACCCUGCCGAUGCUCCUUGCAGUACCUGCCCCACCCGCGUAUCUUUCAGUCACGCAAACAUUCAGAGCAUGAGCUCGGCCUGAGGAUGCAAUUCUCGAAUUGGGCUUGUUAGCGCAAAGUGCAGCCAGAUGCACAGCCUGCUUGCUUGCACAUACUAGCUUGCUCCACUUGCCUCGGUGGUUGCUGAGAGAUGCAUUGUCAUUGGCCAGUGGAACGUGGUUUUGUUGACAGUGGUUUGUAAAGAUCAUCCAUCCCUGUGGAUCAGAUUAUCCCAUUAGCUAGCUCCUCUUUCAACGGCCAAACGUAAUUUCACACUCUUCCUGAGGACUGAUAGGCUGCAGAUAAGAAGGCUGCAGCUUAUGGGAGCAUCCGUUCGAGUCCAUUCUUUUCUAACUGAGCAGCUGUGACAAUAACAGAUCCAUCAAUAACAACAUUCAGCCCUG